GACGAACGCUGGCGGCGUGCCUAAUACAUGCAAGUCGAACGCUUCUUUCCUCCCGAGUGCUUGCACUCAAUUGGAAAGAGGAGUGGCGGACGGGUGAGUAACACGUGGGUAACCUACCCAUCAGAGGGGGAUAACACUUGGAAACAGGUGCUAAUACCGCAUAACAGUUUAUGCCGCAUGGCAUAAGAGUGAAAGGCGCUUUCGGGUGUCGCUGAUGGAUGGACCCGCGGUGCAUUAGCUAGUUGGUGAGGUAACGGCUCACCAAGGCCACGAUGCAUAGCCGACCUGAGAGGGUGAUCGGCCACACUGGGACUGAGACACGGCUCAGACUCCUACGGGAGGCAGCAGUAGGGAAUCUUCGGCAAUGGACGAAAGUCUGACCGAGCAACGCCGCGUGAGUGAAGAAGGUUUUCGGAUCGUAAAACUCUGUUGUUAGAGAAGAACAAGGACGUUAGUAACUGAACGUCCCCUGACGGUAUCUAACCAGAAAGCCACGGCUAACUACGUG
RNAcentral lists this ribosomal RNA (508 nucleotides) under uncultured bacterium. RNAcentral describes it as "partial 16S ribosomal RNA". It matches the Rfam family "Bacterial small subunit ribosomal RNA", at positions 28 to 507 of the family's 1533-position model. The record is from RNAcentral.